AUGAUGGAGUGCAGCAGGGAGGCCGAGCAGGCGCCAGAGGUGCGGGUCAAGCCGCCGCCGCCGCCGCCGCUCACCCAUGAGGACAACCGCCGCUUCCUCCAGAUGCUCCGCGAGAAGAAGGAAAGGUACGGGGUCGUCUCCGAGAAGGUGGAGGUACGGUUCGAGGAGCUCACCGUGGAGGCCGACGUGCGCGUAGGCCGCCGCGCGCUGCCGACGCUGCUCAACUGCGCCGUCAACGCUGCCCAGGAAUUGGCAACAUAUUCACACAUGUGUACUGCAAGGAAAGAACCCAUCAAGAUUAUAAAUGGAGCGAGCGGGACAAUCCGUUCAUCGCGGAUGACACUUCUUCUAGGAGCUCCUAGUUCCGGGAAAACAACUUUUUUAAAAGCACUUGCACAGAAGUUGGAUUCUUCUUUGAAGCCAAUAUGA
This 429-nucleotide ribosomal RNA is filed under the name Triticum aestivum (bread wheat). RNAcentral describes it as "partial small subunit ribosomal RNA". Lineage: Eukaryota; Viridiplantae; Streptophyta; Magnoliopsida; Poales; Poaceae. The record is from RNAcentral.